Molecule: unclassified non-coding RNA, 21 nt
Filed under: Mus musculus (house mouse)
Lineage: Eukaryota; Metazoa; Chordata; Mammalia; Rodentia; Muridae
Description: oocyte_clustered_small_RNA12360
Source: RNAcentral
UGCUCGCACUCAUACAUCUCU